CAGCCGCCACGGGAAUACGGAGGGUGCAAGCGUUAUCCGGAUUUAUUGGGUUUAAAGGGUCCGUAGGCGGAUCUGUAAGUCAGUGGUGAAAUCUCACAGCUUAACUGUGAAACUGCCAUUGAUACUGCAGGUCUUGAGUAAAUUUGAAGUGGCUGGAAUAAGUAGUGUAGCGGUGAAAUGCAUAGAUAUUACUUAGAACACCAAUUGCGAAGGCAGGUCACUAAGAUUUAACUGACGCUGAUGGACGAAAGCGUGGGGAGCGAACAGGAUUAGAGACCCCGGUAGUCCCUGUCUCUUUACA
RNAcentral lists this ribosomal RNA (301 nucleotides) under uncultured bacterium. RNAcentral's name for it is "partial 16S ribosomal RNA". It matches the Rfam family "Bacterial small subunit ribosomal RNA", at positions 509 to 808 of the family's 1533-position model. The record is from RNAcentral.